AAAUCACUGAGGAAUUUGAAGAUGAUGAAAUAAAACCUAUAUAUUUGAAAUGGAAAUUGCUGAUGAGCCCUUGAAACUUGCUACUCGUUUGUUGCCUUGUGGAACAGUGGUUUUCUCUUAAAAAGAUAUGAUUUUCUGCAACACAGGCCCAAAAUCUUUAUUUUUAUGUGCAUUUUUUUGCUUCUUAAAAUGUAAUUGGCCAGGUACGUCUUGUGAUCUGUGCAGAUUAUCACCUAAAUCAAUAUUCAGUAAUAAUUGGAAUUAAAGGAUGGGAAAAAAUUACAAGACUGGGAUCAUCCAGAAAGAAUUAAAAGAACAGUGAAAUUUAAGCAGGGUAGGAUAGGUGCUAUACACGGGGGAAGAGACAACAGGCGAGUAUAAUCUUGGAGUUGGAAAAGUAAGUGGUAGGUUUGGAAGAUAAUUAAUAAACUCGCCUUAGAGGAGGUUUGGAAAGGUGAGUGCAAGAAAAUUGUUUUGGGGAAGCUGUGUAAUCCCAGAUUAAGAAGACUGGACUUUGUCCUUUGGGCAGCAAUUCUCAAACUAGAGCACACUUCAGAAUCUGCUGGAGGGUUUAUGAAAACUCAGAAUCAACUGGAGGGAUUAUGAGAACAUUAUUGGCCCUAUUUUCACCCAUGGUUUCUGAUUCAGGGGUCUGAAUUGAGGCCUAAGAAUUUCCCUUUCUCAUAGUUCUUAAGUGUUUCUGUUCCAUGGAACACACUUGGAGAAUUACCCUCCUAAGUUGUGGGGAACUCUGGAAGAAUUUGAGAAGGAGAGUAAGGAAAUCACAUGCAUAUUUCAGGAUAAGUCUUGUUAUGAAGUCUGAGAGGAGAACUGGGGAAGGAGAGAGCUGGAAAAGAAGAAAGUUCCUUAGAGUUAGCUAGCAUCUGCAUGAUGCUGGGCCCUGUGCCAGGCUCACUCAUGCACACGCUCUCAUUCAUCUUUCCCAUUACCCUCAUGCAUAGGUCUGAAUGUCUUCAUUUUGGACAUGAAGAAACUGAAAGAAUAUGAGAAAUUUCUCAGGAAACAUAUCUGGUCUCAGAGCCCCCUAAGACUAUGCAGAUUUGAACUAGGUUGGUAGCAGUGGGAAUGAAUCCAAACAUUUAAUGGUGAUGGAAUUUAGGAAAAUAGGAGACUUCCCUUGCUAAAUGGGACCUAAAAGUAGAAUUGGGAAAUCUGAGUCUUACUGGAAACAUGAUGAAAGGUAAAGUGGACACAGAACUUUAGAGAAUCUCUGCAUGAAUUCAGUAUGUGUUCUAUAUUACUCUUACAUAAUGAUGACUGUUUAAAGCCUAUUUAAAAGUUUCGUAUUUAAAAAGACAUCCUACUCUACAAAAACUUCCUGAAGUUAUUUGAAAAGGAGACAGCAAAGCCUUCUGUAGGAGUGGUGGGAGAUGGUGAAUAGAUUGAUGGCAUCUGACAGCUUAUCUUCAAAUCAAAAGUGAUUAGCAUUGAGAAAUGGAAACACAUGGGAUAACACUGAAUUGCCUGUAUGAAUUGUGCUGCACUGUAGACACUGACCUAAUGUAUUGAUUUUGGAAAUCCUGUGUGCUUUUUCUUGCCAGAGUAGUUAUUGAAAUUGAGAAUAUUCAUUGGAUCAAUUUCAAGACAAAUAUCCCAAGUCAGACUGGCUGAUGCUGAGCUAAUUUUUAAUGAAGAAAAAUAUCCAUAUGUUAAAAUGAGAAUUUAAAAAGAAAGUUCUUACCUCUAUACUUACUGCACAAUCUAGAAAAAAUGUAUGUUUUCAAAACAUUGAGUAAUCAGUGUAAUGGCAUUAUGGACCCACGCAAAAUUAGAGCACAUAUUCAUACAUUUAUUCUGUGAGAAAUGAACUUUGCUGUGGAGACAAAGAUACCUUAGAGUCUAGGGAAGACUGCCAUCUUAAAUGACCACAGCACAGUGUGAUGAGCACUGUAAGAGAGGACUAUGGCCAGCACUGAUGGCAGGAGAUAUGAGUGAACUGAAGGUGUGAGGAAAGGAAGCCAGGGAACUCUUCUGUAGGAGACACUUGAGUUGGUUCUUGAAGGCUGAGAAAGAAUAUGUGAUCUGAUUAAAGGAGAGAAGGACAUUCUGGCCAGACAAAACAUUAUAGAUGACAGCCACACUGUAUGAAAGAGUGUAGCUUUUUCUGGAACCUGUGUGCUGAUCAUAGUGGUUAUAGUAAUGUGGUAAAAGUUG
RNAcentral lists this long non-coding RNA (2175 nucleotides) under Marmota monax (woodchuck). The record is from RNAcentral. Lineage: Eukaryota; Metazoa; Chordata; Mammalia; Rodentia; Sciuridae.